GACGAACGCUGGCGGCGUGCCUAAUACAUGCAAGUAGAACGCUGAAGAGAGGAGCUUGCUCUUCUUGGAUGAGUUGCGAACGGGUGAGUAACGCGUAGGUAACCUGCCUUGUAGCGGGGGAUAACUAUUGGAAACGAUAGCUAAUACCGCAUAACAAUGGAUGACACAUGUCAUUUAUUUGAAAGGGGCAAUCGCUCCACUACAAGAUGGACCUGCGUUGUAUUAGCUAGUAGGUGAGGUAACGGCUCACCUAGGCGACGAUACAUAGCCGACCUGAGAGGGUGAUCGGCCACACUGGGACUGAGACACGGCCCAGACUCCUACGGGAGGCAGCAGUAGGGAAUCUUCGGCAAUGGGGGCAACCCUGACCGAGCAGCGCCGCGUGAGUGAAGAAGGUUUUCGGAUCGUAAAGCUCUGUUGUAAGUCAAGAACGAGUGUGAGAGUGGAAAGUUCACACUGUGACGGUAGCUUACCAGAAAGGGACGGCUAACUACGUGCCAGCAGCCGCGGUAAUACGUAGGUCCCGAGCGUUGUCCGGAUUUAUUGGGCGUAAAGCGAGCGCAGGCGGUUUGAUAAGUCUGAAGUUAAGGCUGUGGCUCAACCAUAGUUCGCUUUGGAAACUGUCAAACUUGAGUGCAGAAGGGGAGAGUGGAAUUCCAUGUGUAGCGGUGAAAUGCGUAGAUAUAUGGAGGAACACCGGUGGCGAAAGCGGCUCUCUGGUCUGUAACUGACGCUGAGGCUCGAAAGCGUGGGGAGCGAACAGGAUUAGAUACCCUGGUAGUCCACGCCGUAAACGAUGAGUGCUAGGUGUUGGAUCCUUUCCGGGAUUCAGUGCCGCAGCUAACGCAUUAAGCACUCCGCCUGGGGAGUACGACCGCAAGGUUGAAACUCAAAGGAAUUGACGGGGGCCCGCACAAGCGGUGGAGCAUGUGGUUUAAUUCGAAGCAACGCGAAGAACCUUACCAGGUCUUGACAUCCCGAUGCUAUUUCUAGAGAUAGAAAGUUACUUCGGUACAUCGGUGACAGGUGGUGCAUGGUUGUCGUCAGCUCGUGUCGUGAGAUGUUGGGUUAAGUCCCGCAACGAGCGCAACCCCUAUUGUUAGUUGCCAUCAUUCAGUUGGGCACUCUAGCGAGACUGCCGGUAAUAAACCGGAGGAAGGUGGGGAUGACGUCAAAUCAUCAUGCCCCUUAUGACCUGGGCUACACACGUGCUACAAUGGUUGGUACAACGAGUUGCGAGUCGGUGACGGCAAGCUAAUCUCUUAAAGCCAAUCUCAGUUCGGAUUGUAGGCUGCAACUCGCCUACAUGAAGUCGGAAUCGCUAGUAAUCGCGGAUCAGCACGCUGCGGUGAAUACGUUCCCGGGCCU
This 1368-nucleotide ribosomal RNA is filed under the name uncultured bacterium. Its description in RNAcentral is "bacterial SSU rRNA". It matches the Rfam family "Bacterial small subunit ribosomal RNA", at positions 28 to 1381 of the family's 1533-position model. The record is from RNAcentral.